AGAGUUUGAUCCUGGCUCAGGACGAACGCUGGCGGCGUGCCUAAUACAUGCAAGUAGAACGCUGAAGGGAGGAGCUUGCUCUUCUUGGAUGAGUUGCGAACGGGUGAGUAACGCGUAGGUAACCUGCCUUGUAGCGGGGGAUAACUAUUGGAAACGAUAGCUAAUACCGCAUAACAAUGGAUGACACAUGUCAUUUAUUUGAAAGGGGCAAUUGUUCCACUACAAGAUGGACCUGCGUUGUAUUAGCUAGUAGGUGAGGUAAUGGCUCACCUAGGCGACGAUACAUAGCCGACCUGAGAGGGUGAUCGGCCACACUGGGACUGAGACACGGCCCAGACUCCUACGGGAGGCAGCAGUAGGGAAUCUUCGGCAAUGGGGGCAACCCUGACCGAGCAACGCCGCGUGAGUGAAGAAGGUUUUCGGAUCGUAAAGCUCUGUUGUAAGUCAAGAACGGGUGUGAGAGUGGAAAGUUCACACUGUGACGGUAGCUUACCAGAAAGGGACGGCUAACUACGUGCCAGCAGCCGCGGUAAUACGUAGGUCCCGAGCGUUGUCCGGAUUUAUUGGGCGUAAAGCGAGCGCAGGCGGUUUGAUAAGUCUGAAGUUAAAGGCUGUGGCUCAACCAUAGUUCGCUUUGGAAACUGUCAAACUUGAGUGCAGAAGGGGAGAGUGGAAUUCCAUGUGUAGCGGUGAAAAGCGUAGAUAUAUGGAGGAACACCGGUGGCGAAAGCGGCUCUCUGGUCUGUAACUGACGCUGAGGCUCGAAAGCGUGGGGAGCGAACAGGAUUAGAUACCCUGGUAGUCCACGCCGUAAACGAUGAGUGCUAGGUGUUGGAUCCUUUCCGGGAUUCAGUGCCGCAGCUAACGCAUUAAGCACUCCGCCUGGGGAGUACGACCGCAAGGUUGAAACUCAAAGGAAUUGACGGGGGCCCGCACAAGCGGUGGAGCAUGUGGUUUAAUUCGAAGCAACGCGAAGAACCUUACCAGGUCUUGACAUCCCGAUGCUAUUUCUAGAGAUAGAAAGUUACUUCGGUACAUCGGUGACAGGUGGUGCAUGGUUGUCGUCAGCUCGUGUCGUGAGAUGUUGGGUUAAGUCCCGCAACGAGCGCAACCCCUAUUGUUAGUUGCCAUCAUUCAGUUGGGCACUCUAGCGAGACUGCCGGUAAUAAACCGGAGGAAGGUGGGGAUGACGUCAAAUCAUCAUGCCCCUUAUGACCUGGGCUACACACGUGCUACAAUGGUUGGUACAACGAGUUGCGAGUCGGUGACGGCGAGCUAAUCUCUUAAAGCCAAUCUCAGUUCGGAUUGUAGGCUGCAACUCGCCUACAUGAAGUCGGAAUCGCUAGUAAUCGCGGAUCAGCACGCCGCGGUGAAUACGUUCCCGGGCCUUGUACACACCGCCCGUCACACCACGAGAGUUUGUAACACCCGAAGUCGGUGAGGUAACCUUUUGGAGCCAGCCGCCUAAGGUGGGACAGAUGAUUGGGGUGAAGUCGUAACAAGGUA
This 1506-nucleotide ribosomal RNA is filed under the name metagenome. Its description in RNAcentral is "bacterial SSU rRNA". It matches the Rfam family "Bacterial small subunit ribosomal RNA". The record is from RNAcentral.